Small nucleolar RNA from Phoenix dactylifera (date palm), 139 nucleotides. RefSeq annotates it as small nucleolar RNA Z247. Lineage: Eukaryota; Viridiplantae; Streptophyta; Magnoliopsida; Arecales; Arecaceae. The record is from RefSeq and is a predicted model, not a curated record.
ACCUUGGAAGACCAUGAAAUCACCUCUUAUCUCCUUGGAGGUCUGGAUUCUACCUAUGAUGCUCUUGUAACCUCUAUCACCACACGCACUGAUGCAAUGCCCUUAGAAGACCUGUUUGGCCAUUUACUUCACUUCGAAC